GUCUAUGGCCAUACCCCCCUGAAGGCGCCUGAUCUUCUCUGGUCUGUGAAACUAAGCAGGGUGGGGCCUGGUUAGUACUUGGAAGGGAGACUGACUGGGAAUACCGGGUGCUGUAGGCU
This is a ribosomal RNA of Gorilla gorilla gorilla (western lowland gorilla), 119 nucleotides long. Lineage: Eukaryota; Metazoa; Chordata; Mammalia; Primates; Hominidae. The record is from Ensembl.